RNAcentral lists this unclassified non-coding RNA (1126 nucleotides) under Orbicella faveolata. Its description in RNAcentral is "arginine and glutamate-rich protein 1-like, transcript variant X2". Lineage: Eukaryota; Metazoa; Cnidaria; Anthozoa; Scleractinia; Merulinidae. The record is from RNAcentral.
GUAGCAGGGGCCCGGUGACUAAGCAGAGCAUGAAGAAUAAAUUUUACUUCACCGUGGUAUGAGUAUAACAGAAGUUAAUUUCAGCGUCUAAAACCCAUUUUUCCGUCUUUCAUAAUGCCCAAGAGCGAGUCAAAAUCCCGCUCAAGAAGCAAGAGUGGAAGUCCGCGUCGAAAACACAAGAAAGAUCGCAGUUAUCGUCGGAAAACGCGGAGUAGAUCGCCGAGCUCGACGCCAUCUUCGUCGAAGAAAAGUCGCGAUCGUUCACCUCGCCGACGCUCGAGAUCACCGAGAAGAAAAAAGCGAUAUUCUAGGAGUAGGAGUCGUUCUCCUAGUGUUGAUAGAUUUGGCCGAUCGAUAGUGAAGAGAAAAGACGAUGACCCCGCUAAACGAAAGGAACUUGAGGAAGAGAGACUGCAAGAAAUGGAACGGCAAAGAAAAAUUCGAGCUACAGAGAAAGAAAAGAUGAUCAUUGAGGAAGAAACACAAAAGCGAGUUGAAGAACUUGUUGCUAAGAGAGUUGAGGAGCAACUUGCAAAGAGGAAAGAUGAAAUUGAUGCUGAAGUUAUGAAAAGAGUUGAAGAAGCCAAGAGUGUUAUGGAGAAACAGAUGGUUGAAGAGUUUGAAAAACGACGACAGGAGCAACUUGAAGAACAGCAGAUGAAAGAGAUUCCGGUGGCGAUUCAGUUCAGAAGGAAAACAUUGUCAAGAACAGUCAGUCUUUCCAAGCAUUUGGAUUUAAACCUUCUUAACUCUCUCUUGUGCCGAUAAAUCCUUGAACUUGAACUUGACAUUCAAACAUUCAGAGUUUUACAAAAGACUGCAAUCUUUCAAGAACUGCGCAAUUUUUGAAAUUGCUCAAAGUUUAGGAACUUUCAUCUAAUGGAAAAAUUAUUUAGCGCACCUCUCGUAGGAACAUUCCACCUUGAGCCACCUCUAAUAAGUGAAACUUUCUGGGAGAGUUCAAGUCUUCACAGACUCUGAAGGAUUUCUUCGCAGAGCCUUUGCUUGGAGCAUUUCAUAGGAAUUGUUAGGCGGAAAUGUGAAGAAGAGCGUCGUAAGAUUCAUCUUCUUGAGAACAAAGUUGAUGAACUUCAAAAACAACUUGAUGAUGCCAAUCAAAAACUGG